Molecule: long non-coding RNA, 683 nt
Filed under: Solanum tuberosum (potato)
Lineage: Eukaryota; Viridiplantae; Streptophyta; Magnoliopsida; Solanales; Solanaceae
Description: long non-coding RNA (STUB_LNC009572)
Source: RNAcentral
UUCAUGAUCAUGAUAACAAUAAUUAUUGAUACAAAAAUAAAUAUAUAAGAAAUCUGAUAGAGUACUUAGAGACACGUAAAUACGAUUCUCGAAGAUAAUUAAAAUUUGUUUCACGAACUAAUAAAAGAAUGAUAACACAAUACUAUCUUUUACAUUCAACUAAACCAUAUAUUUUCAAUUGGGAAAUAGCAGUUUUAAUCCUUGUAUUAUUACAUAAUUUCACUUUUAAUCCCUGUGUUAUUUUAUACAUAUUUAACCUUGAAUUAUUUGAAAUGUGUUGUUUUGGUCAUUGAAGUUUACAAAAGUUAACUAUUACUUAAUUUAACAUAAUAUUAAAUAAAAUAAAGGGUUGGUGAUUCUAAAUGCUUGAAGAAUUAUGUAUAUAAAGUCUGCAACACGAAAUUUUUAUGCGAUUAUCCAUCCUAGUUCGACGUACUUAUUUUCAAGCAUGCUUAACUUUGAAGUUUUAUUCAGAAUUCAUAAUGAAAAAUAAAAUAAUAUAUAUAUAUAUAUAACAUAAUAUUAAAUAAAAUAAAGGGUUGGUGAUUCUAAAUGCUUGAAGAAUUAUGUAUAUAAAGUCUGCAACAUGAAAACUUUAUGUGGUUAUUCAUUUCUCAAGCAUGCUUAACUUUGGAGUUUUAUUCAGAAUUCAUAAUUGAAUAAAAAAAAAAAUUCUUACCUCC